AUUGAACGCUGGCGGAAUGCUUUACACAUGCAAGUCGAACGGCAGCACGGGGCAACCUGGUGGCGAGUGGCGAACGGGUGAGUAAUAUAUCGGAACGUGCCCAAUCGUGGGGGAUAACGUAGCGAAAGUUACGCUAAUACCGCAUACGAUCUACGGAUGAAAGCGGGGGAUCGCAAGACCUCGCGCGAAUGGAGCGGCCGAUAUCAGAUUAGGUAGUUGGUGGGGUAAAGGCUCACCAAGCCAACGAUCUGUAGCUGGUCUGAGAGGACGACCAGCCACACUGGAACUGAGACACGGUCCAGACUCCUACGGGAGGCAGCAGUGGGGAAUUUUGGACAAUGGGCGCAAGCCUGAUCCAGCCAUUCCGCGUGCAGGAUGAAGGCCUCGGUU
RNAcentral lists this ribosomal RNA (390 nucleotides) under uncultured bacterium. Its description in RNAcentral is "bacterial SSU rRNA". It matches the Rfam family "Bacterial small subunit ribosomal RNA", at positions 30 to 424 of the family's 1533-position model. The record is from RNAcentral.